Molecule: ribosomal RNA, 531 nt
Filed under: Klebsiella pneumoniae
Lineage: Bacteria; Pseudomonadati; Pseudomonadota; Gammaproteobacteria; Enterobacterales; Enterobacteriaceae
Description: bacterial SSU rRNA
Rfam family: Bacterial small subunit ribosomal RNA
Source: RNAcentral
UGGUGCCUUCGGGAACUGUGAGACAGGUGCUGCAUGGCUGUCGUCAGCUCGUGUUGUGAAAUGUUGGGUUAAGUCCCGCAACGAGCGCAACCCUUAUCCUUUGUUGCCAGCGGUUCGGCCGGGAACUCAAAGGAGACUGCCAGUGAUAAACUGGAGGAAGGUGGGGAUGACGUCAAGUCAUCAUGGCCCUUACGACCAGGGCUACACACGUGCUACAAUGGCAUAUACAAAGAGAAGCGACCUCGCGAGAGCAAGCGGACCUCAUAAAGUAUGUCGUAGUCCGGAUUGGAGUCUGCAACUCGACUCCAUGAAGUCGGAAUCGCUAGUAAUCGUAGAUCAGAAUGCUACGGUGAAUACGUUCCCGGGCCUUGUACACACCGCCCGUCACACCAUGGGAGUGGGUUGCAAAAGAAGUAGGUAGCUUAACCUUCGGGAGGGCGCUUACCACUUUGUGAUUCAUGACUGGGGUGAAGUCGUAACAAGGUAACCGUAGGGGAACCUGCGGUUGGAUCACCUCCUUACCUUAAAGAA